CUUCCGUUGAUCCUGAUCAUAACAACGUUUGUUUUCAUGGAAAAAAAAAUAUGGCGACUAAGAAACACUUAAUGUCAACAAGAUUUUCUGAUUGACAAGAGAAAAGGUCAAACAGGAACUUCAAUUGUGAACAUUGCAGAGAACACACCCAUCAGAAGAUAACUCUCAGAAAAAGGACAAUUAAUGAAUAAAAUGGACAAAGGCAGAACUGAAGGAGAUGCAUGAAAUGAGGAAUAUUUCAAAGAUUGCCUGAGCAUAACCACUGCUACUGGAUAAACAUAUGGCAAUAUAAAAGAGCAGGGUCAAUAGAGGUAUCAUACAGUAUAGGCCAUGAGAGACCCUGAAGAAGAAAGUAUUGAACAGAAACAAAAAUAAAACCUUUUUGACAUUUAUUGAAAUAUAGGAUCAAAGUCUUACAUGUAAAAUUUGGGCAUGUAAUGACUUUUCUCUAGCUCUAAGACUUAUAACAGUGAUGAUUUGAUUUUAUAUCUUUAUCCCGAUUUGUCGAAAAGAUUUGGACAUAGUGCAUCAAUUAUUUUAAAGUUUUGAUACAACGAAUUCACUUGUAACUGAGUUUUCUGGUGCGACACUGUUUUAUCGGCUUCAAAACUAAGUUUGUGAUUUCCAAACCAGAUUAAUGAGAUCAUGUAAUAUCUUUUAACAUCGGUGACUAUUUAAUCCAUUCUUUUACAACUCAUAAGUAUUUUUAUUAUUACAGGGAAGCAUUGUACAUGUAUCUGUAA
Saccostrea cuccullata (small rock oyster) is the source of this 743-nucleotide long non-coding RNA. RefSeq lists it as uncharacterized. Lineage: Eukaryota; Metazoa; Mollusca; Bivalvia; Ostreida; Ostreidae. The record is from RefSeq and is a predicted model, not a curated record. The transcript has 3 exons.